Long non-coding RNA from Nerophis ophidion (straightnose pipefish), 672 nucleotides. RefSeq lists it as uncharacterized. The record is from RefSeq and is a predicted model, not a curated record. The transcript has 5 exons. NCBI's taxonomy places the organism in Eukaryota, Metazoa, Chordata, Actinopteri, Syngnathiformes, Syngnathidae.
UUUUUUUUUCCGAUCGGGCACCUUGCUGGGCAGCUAAGAGGUUCAAUGACAUGUUGACUAUUAAGCAGCAGUUGAGCAUCAAUCUCCAUCAAAGUCAUCCUAUCUUUGUCUUAAAAGUGAUAAAGUGAAUGGGGACAUCUCCACACCCUUGUUUUCUCAGCCGAUCUCUGAUCUCCUCCCAAAACUCUCACAUUCCACAAACAGAUGAUUGACAUCCUCUACAGCUCCACAGAUGUAUCGACCUCCAUGUCAACCUCAAAAGGGACAAGCGCAGCUGCAAGGUGAAGACUGGAAGAACACUGCCACUCAGUGGUGGAUCAUCUCUGCCUCCUUCUGCUCCACACAUCCCUGAGUCUUCACGCUGAGGGGCCAAACAAGGUCACGUGUUCCCGUGUGUGUGUGACUUGGACUUGGGCGUGGAUUGCUUUCCCGAGGUGCAAAGCGAAUGGAGUGGAAACGGCGUGAAGCAGUGUUUUCCUUCCGUUCAUCUGGAUUUCGACUGCCUCCCUCGUUCCUCGACUCCUCGUUCGCCCCUGGACUCUGACGCCUCUCUUUCGCCCCUGACCCUGCCUGCCCAUAGACUUCGUCGUUCCUUCGCUCUCGUCAACUGGUAACACACACUUCAGCUAAUCUACACACAUAGUCACACGCAUACACUCUUGAUAUUUGUCA